Molecule: long non-coding RNA, 1526 nt
Organism: Anser cygnoides (Swan goose)
Lineage: Eukaryota; Metazoa; Chordata; Aves; Anseriformes; Anatidae
Source: Ensembl
AUGCUUCUUCCAGCUUCUCUCCAACUCCAGGGCAGGCUGUCAACAAUUAUCUGUCGCUUUCUUUCUUUUUCUUCUUCCAAAGCAUUUUCCAGGUUAACUUCCUUCCCCCUCCCUUUCUGCAGGGUACCUGUUCUCUGGGAGCCCCGUGGGAUACUUGGCACAGCCGCAGCACCCGGAGGAGGGCAGUGGGACUCGGGCUGGGUGAGCUCACAGCAGCAGCUGGCUCAGCCCCGUUCAGCAGGAUUUUGGAGUCUGCCUGCAAAUCUGUCUCCUCGGGCUGCUGCACUAGAGUGGAGAGAGUGGAGAAAACUUCCUGUCCUGAACACUUGUAAAGGAUUUGUUUUUUCUAAAGUUUCAGUAGGAGUGAUUAAUUGCUUUGUCACAGGCCAUAAUAUGGACAUGUGCUCUUAAGUAGUCAUCUUUCUCACUCAUAUACAGUAACCGUCAGAAAACUUCUCUUCAUGUCCAAGACAAUUCACGGGGAGCUAACAAGCCUGCUCUCCCACUCGUAAACUUCAGUUUCAACAUCGCGUGUGAGACAUGUGAAAAGUGGCCCACAGCCUGUAUCUCCUGGCUUCUGUGAGCCAGGGCACGAGGAGGUUUGUGUCCAACUUGCAGUGUGUGUGGCAGGGAGUCAGUCACUUCCACUUGAAUGGAAACUGGUUUUGAAACAUACUUGCCCGAGAGCAAAGCUGGAAGUAAUUAUAUCACAUGAGACCAAAGUUGGAACUGUUGCUGAUAGGCAAUGAAAAACGACUGUCCGUUGAUGGCAGUGCCCAUCCUUUUCUCUUUAUCACAGUGUCUGGUUUACAGUCACUUGGCAGUAAUCGCAGCAGUUAGCAUUUCUCAGCGUUGGAGCCUUUCAGGUUUCAUUCCUUCAGUGCCAUAACUACUGGACUUCCUGACCUGUGCUUUAAAGCCCCUCUUGAGGUGUUGCAAGGCGACAGUUUAGGGAAGAAAUAUGUUCAUUACGCUCGCUGUUACUCCUUUUUUCUCUGCUUAUGGAAUCCACAGCAAUUGCACAAUAGCAACUGAUAAGGAGCCUUGUGAUCUUAAGUGGAGUUACAGUGAGGUACACAAGCCUGUCGCAGUGGUGCCUAAGGGUUUGCAGUUACCUUCAGUAUGUUCAAUGCAUCCAAAGCAGGCCGAAUGAAAAUGGAUUCUUGGGGUGGGUAUUCACUGGGCAUAUAUCCAUGCUGCCAUUUUUGCUUUUUUUUGGUAUUGCUCAAGACCAUUUGUCAGUGCAUUACAGUUCAACGUGCUAUUUUUCUUCCUGUGCCUUUUAGGCAAGUAUCUGAGCCAAUGCCUGCAAAAAGUUUUGCAUAAGGCUGUUAGCAAAAUUCCUACCCGUAGCCACCUACGCUCCUGCUGAAGCCUCUGGCUGAGCAAUCCUGCUGACUUCGGUAGGAAAGGCAGCAGCUACAGACUGCAGCUGAAUCCUGAGAGGUAACAAGUCUGCAGUCAGGCUGUGACUCCCAACAGAAGCAGUUAAUAAACUCAUCACCCAGGAAGGAUGUGUGUGCUUA